Non-coding RNA from Pelobates cultripes (western spadefoot toad), 391 nucleotides. Lineage: Eukaryota; Metazoa; Chordata; Amphibia; Anura; Pelobatidae. The record is from the annotation of a GenBank genome assembly.
AGUACUCCUUUCCCUUGGUACCUUGUCCUGGGAUCGGGGUGUUACACACAGUCUUUUCAGGCUUUAGAGACACUUCACACGCUGGAUGAGGUAAACUGACUUGCUCUUUUAUUGAGGUUCCAAAAGAAAUGCACAGUAAGGUAUAAAGGUAACAAAAAUAUAUCAAACAAAAGCCUUGCUCUUCUGAGCACUAACUAAACAAAAUAAUCAGCUAACUGGGUUGGAUGGCUUGUCCAUUUCCCAACAUAAACAUAAACAUAAACAGCCUUACUGCUUCAGGGUUUUCAGCUCUCUGUUUCCACUCACAGAAACCAAACACAAUCUUGCACCAACCUUAUUAGAGAGCAACGCUCUGCUAUCUAACCUGUUGCUUUCCUUUCUGCACUCCCAG